RNAcentral lists this ribosomal RNA (501 nucleotides) under uncultured bacterium. RNAcentral describes it as "partial 16S ribosomal RNA". It matches the Rfam family "Bacterial small subunit ribosomal RNA", at positions 30 to 523 of the family's 1533-position model. The record is from RNAcentral.
AUUGAACGCUGGCGGCAGGCUUAACACAUGCAAGUCGAGCGGAGAUGAGGUGCUUGCACCUUAUCUUAGCGGCGGCCGGGUGAGUAAUGCUUAGGAAUCUGCCUAUUAGUGGGGGACAACAUUCCGAAAGGAAUGCUAAUACCGCAUACGUCCUACGGGAGAAAGCAGGGGAUCUUCGGACCUUCCGCUAAUAGAUGAGCCUAAGUCGGAUUAGCUAGUUGGUGGGGUAAAGGCCUACCAAGGCGACGAUCUGUAGCGGGUCUGAGAGGAUGAUCCGCCACACUGGGACUGAGACACGGCCCAGACUCCUACGGGAGGCAGCAGUGGGGAAUAUUGGACAAUGGGGGGAACCCUGAUCCAGCCAUGCCGCGUGUGUGAAGAAGGCCUUAUGGUUGUAAAGCACUUUAAGCGAGGAGGAGGCUACUGAGACUAAUACUCUUGGAUAGUGGACGUUACUCGCAGAAUAAGCACCGGCUAACUCUGUGCCAGCAGCCGCGGUAA